AUUUCAAAGUUAUGUGGCACGUUGGUGAAGUAAACAGCACCAAAGACGGCAACUUUGAUGUACCUCACAGCGUGGAGUUGGAUAACUACAAUCGUGUGUGGGUUGCAGACCGUAUGAACGGCAGACUGCAAGCCUUUGAUGCAGAUACGGGCAAGUUUAUUGGCAAAUGGACAAGUUGUUUCUCUGUUGGGCAACCAUACUCUGUCAGAAUGAGUAAGGAUAAAACACAUUUCAUCGUUGCACUACUUCAGCAGAGUAAAAUUCUUUUAGUUGCCACUCCACCAAGUGCAGGACCAAUAGGCGACUGCAAUGUCUUGGGUUCUAUAGAUCUACCAGAAAAUACCGGACCGCAUCUAGUGGGAGUUAGCAAAUCAACAGGUGCUUUUUAUGUGGCUGAACUUAACACACAGACUUGUCAGAAAUUUGUACCUAUUGGACUACAUAGAAUUAAUAUAGAUUAAAUAUGUUUUUCUCUUGCCAUAUUAUUGUUCCAAUUAAAGAGGAUAUUUUAUUUUUGUGAUUAAAAUAAAAAACAGUGAGGCUAGUCUUAGCCCCGGUGUGUGUCACAAUGAAGAGUUAUAUGGAUAUGUUUUGUGAAAGAGUAUUAAGGUAACUUACAGUACUGUACUACUAAUUACAAUAACAAAAGAACUAUGCAUUGAGCAACUGGCAUACGAGUCAACAGAAAAGUUGACAUGAAUAAUGAUGAGCUAAAAGUGGUAAUUGGUGAUAAGUGCUCACAAGUGAAGUGUAAAAUUAUGUUAAUUUAUGAUCAAAUUUUUAGAAUAGGAAUCAACCUGUACACAGUUGCACAGGAUAUGUGAUAGCUCAAGGUGAGCAGAAUGGUGUUAGUGCAUUGGACACGCCCAAACUGAAACACCUAAGGCUUAGGAAAGUGUGGUAGCUAAAUUAAGAGCACCACUAACACCUAUGCACUAUCAAACAAGAACAGAUUUACAAGGACAUAUGUGAGUACUUUUAAUGAUUUAUAAAUGUGAAAUUACGUUCCUAUAAAGUUCCGUAUAUAUUUAUAUGUUGAAUAGUAAUUGUGCAAGUAAUGGAAUAUAUGUAGGCCCUACGUGGUAUGUGGUAUUAAUACUUACCUUGAAUAUGAUUAAAGUGGAAAUGUUGGACAUAUA
Molecule: RNA transcript, 1139 nt
Organism: Anneissia japonica
Lineage: Eukaryota; Metazoa; Echinodermata; Crinoidea; Comatulida; Comatulidae
Gene name: NHL repeat-containing protein 3-like
Source: RefSeq, a predicted model, not a curated record